This 1441-nucleotide small RNA is filed under the name Arabidopsis thaliana (thale cress). Its description in RNAcentral is "ATSL082970". Lineage: Eukaryota; Viridiplantae; Streptophyta; Magnoliopsida; Brassicales; Brassicaceae. The record is from RNAcentral.
GUUAUUUAUAUUUUGGGCCAGGUUAUUUGUUUUAUUGGGCUUGGGUCGGAUUAUUUUGGUUGGAUCUGUAGUUUUUAAAUUUUUGAAAGGUUAUUUGGACAUUUACACCUGUUUUGAUUAAAAAAAAGAAAAGAUAAAUAAAAUUAUAAGGAAUGGGUGGCAUUGCUGAUCAUUAUUUCGGAGAAAGUGGCAUUCCUGCCAUUUAUUCUCUUAUGUUUGGAUUUAUAUUAUUGAUUUUUUUUAAAUCGAAAAACGAGUAAAGGACGAAAAAUCCAAGGCAAACCACUGAAACUACAAUAAAACUUAAUUUAUUAGGGUUGGACCCAAUACAAAACGUAAAUAUUCGGGCCAGUUGUAUUAUUUACCCUAGAAAAACCUAAGUAAAAAACUAACUUUUCAACUUCAACUUCUCGACUUCUUUCCUUCUUUCUCCGUCGUCUUUCUCUCCCUUCUCUCGUCUCCGACGACAUCAAUUUUUGCCGAAAAACUCAAUCUCUUCUCUUCUCGUUGUCGGCUCCGUUUUCGUUUCGUCUUUGUCUCUUUCAUCUCCGUAUAUUUCUUUUCCAAUGGCUAGAGUAAAAGACUCUCGUGGGGAAUAUGAAUCAAGUGAUAGGGUUGAAGCCGGCGAAAUUCCUCAAUCAGUCGAAGAGGCCGCCGAGAUUCCUCAAAGAGAUGAAGAAGGCGCAGAGCUUCUUACAACAGAAGAAGAGGCCGGCGAAAUUCAGCCUACAACUGGAGUUGCAACCGAUUGUGACGCCGCCGAUUUGGGUCAUUCUAACACCGUCGAAUUGUAUCCAACAAAGGAUCUUUUAGACCCAAUUGCCGAAUCUUCUGAUGAAGAAGAAGAGGCAACAAAUGCAUAUGUUAAUGUUGAUGAUGCAGCAAAUGAGGUAUGAGAGAAGACCGUUAUUUUUUUGGAUUGUCUUAGGCUGGUUUUAGGAGAUUAUGCAUCGGUAAAUGAUUGGAUUUGUGAAUGUUGCUUCAGAUAAAACAAGUAGUACAAGUAGGUUGUAAAUUUGUGAAUGAUCAUUCAGGAACAAGUAGUAGAACUAGGUCGUUAAUGUGGAAUUGAAAGUAUUUUGGAUUGAAUAUGCAGGAUGAUGGUGAUGAUGAUAACCUGCCGCAGAAUAUGCAGGAUGAUGAUGAUGAUGAUAACCAACCAUUGCCGCCAGAAGUUAUGUAAUUUGAUCCAACUAACUACACGAAGGUGUGUAAGAUAGGAACGAGGUGUCAGUUGGUACAAACAGUGGAAUUUAUAGAGACUUUGGAUGCAGAACUGAAGUGGUUUAGGAAUCAUGACCAAUUUAAGCACAUAUUCCACAUGCCUAAGGAGCCCAAUCACAUGAUUCAAGGCAUGUGGAUGCUUAUGGUUCGCACGGCUAAGACAGAAUUGGAGAGAGAGUGUUGGUUUGUUGUCAAUGGAGUACCUAUAAGGUACUCA